RNAcentral lists this ribosomal RNA (432 nucleotides) under Triticum aestivum (bread wheat). Its description in RNAcentral is "partial small subunit ribosomal RNA". The record is from RNAcentral. Lineage: Eukaryota; Viridiplantae; Streptophyta; Magnoliopsida; Poales; Poaceae.
AUGGCUUCACCGGGGGCGUCCUGCCCGGCGGCCUACUCGUGGGCGCCGCAGGACGGGGCACAGCGCGGGCAGACGGUCUUCAUGCAGGUCUGCGCGGGGUGCCACGUCAUGCUCCCCUACGCCGGCCUCCGCGCGGCGGCGCAGGGCGAGGUGGGAGCUCAGACGGCCGAGAUCAUGGUCGCAGAGGAAGCUGUGACGGCUGCGAGACCCCCAUCCGGUGGCUCAUACACGCCGGACCUCACCGCCCUCACCACAAAAAUCCAUGAAGGGGCGGCUCUGUACACCACAGGGGGCAAGAUCAUGACAACGAUGCCUACGAUGCUCACCGGCGGUGUCUCCAUGUGCCAAGAGCUGACGAAGAUGAUGGCGCCACCAAGCGCCAUGUGGAUGCAGUUUGCCCAGCCCUACAUUGGGACUAUCCAGAUGGCUUGA